GACGUAGGGCGCGAGCGUUGUCCGGAUUUAUUGGGCGUAAAGAGCUCGUAGGCGGCUUGUUGCGUCGACCGUGAAAACCCGGGGCUCAACUUCGGGCUUGCGGUCGAUACGGGCGGGCUAGAGUUCGGUAGGGGAGACUGGAAUUCCUGGUGUAGCGGUGGAAUGCGCAGAUAUCAGGAGGAACACCGGUGGCGAAGGCGGGUCUCUGGGCCGAUACUGACGCUGAGGAGCGAAAGCGUGGGGAGCGAACAGG
This 253-nucleotide ribosomal RNA is filed under the name uncultured bacterium. RNAcentral's name for it is "partial 16S ribosomal RNA". It matches the Rfam family "Bacterial small subunit ribosomal RNA", at positions 524 to 776 of the family's 1533-position model. The record is from RNAcentral.